CCAGACUCCUACGGGAGGCAGCAGUGAGGAAUAUUGGUCAAUGGGCGAGAGCCUGAACCAGCCAAGUCGCGUGAAGGACGACGGUUCUAUGGAUUGUAAACUUCUUUUGUAGAGGAAUAAUGGCAGCUACGCGUAGCUGAGAUGCAUGUACUCUACGAAUAAGUAUCGGCUAACUCCGUGCCAGCAGCCGCGGUAAUACGGAGGAUACGAGCGUUAUCCGGAAUUAUUGGGUUUAAAGGGUGCGUAGGUGGCGUAUUAAGUCAGUGGUGAAAAGCUGCAGCUCAACUGUAGUCUUGCCGUUGAAACUGAUAUGCUAGAGAGGAGACGAGGUAUGCGGAAUGUGUGGUGUAGCGGUGAAAUGCAUAGAUAUCACACAGAACGCCGAUUGCGAAGGCAGCGUACCAGGCUCCGUCUGACACUGAAGCACGAAAGCGUGGGGAUCAAACAGGAUUAGAUACCCUGGUAGUCCACGCAGUAAACGAUGAAUACUAGAUUUUUGCGAUAUAGUGUAAGAGUCUAAGCGAAAGCGAUAAGUAUUCCACCUGGGGAGUACGCCGGCAACGGUGAAACUCAAAGGAAUUGACGGGGGCCCGCACAAG
RNAcentral lists this ribosomal RNA (599 nucleotides) under uncultured bacterium. RNAcentral's name for it is "bacterial SSU rRNA". It matches the Rfam family "Bacterial small subunit ribosomal RNA", at positions 331 to 929 of the family's 1533-position model. The record is from RNAcentral.